This 280-nucleotide ribosomal RNA is filed under the name uncultured prokaryote. Its description in RNAcentral is "partial 16S ribosomal RNA". It matches the Rfam family "Bacterial small subunit ribosomal RNA", at positions 524 to 801 of the family's 1533-position model. The record is from RNAcentral.
UACGUAGGAUCCGAGCGUUAUCCGGAGUGACUGGGCGUAAAGAGUUGCGUAGGCGGUAAGUCAAGUGAAUAGUGAAACCUGGUGGCUCAACCAUACAGACUAUUAUUCAAACUGGCUUACUCGAGAGUGGUAGAGGUAACUGGAAUUUCUUGUGUAGGAGUGAAAUCCGUAGAUAUAAGAAGGAACACCAAUGGCGUAGGCAGGUUACUGGACCAUUUCGGACGCUAAGGCACGAAAGCGUGGGGAGCGAACCGGAUUAGAUACCCCGGUAGUCCCUGAG